GGCUUGGUGGUGUAGUUGGUUAUCACGUCAGUCUAACAUUGCUCACAAUGAGUGUGUUGGGUACACUGAAGGUCCUGAGUUCGAGUCUCGGCCGAGUCA
Non-coding RNA from Lindgomyces ingoldianus, 99 nucleotides. The record is from the annotation of a RefSeq genome assembly. NCBI's taxonomy places the organism in Eukaryota, Fungi, Ascomycota, Dothideomycetes, Pleosporales, Lindgomycetaceae.